UCUUUCUUUUCUUCUUUUCUUCUCCUUCUUUCUUCCUCCCUUCCCGAUCUCCUCCUCUUCUCCUCUUCUCCCAUGAAACUAGGAAGCGAGCUCGGAAGGGGCGCUCGGGAGGGAGACGGUCCGAGGUCGUGGGUGCCAGCGGCCGGCCAACAUCACUCGCGGCUCAGUCUGGAGCAGUCGAUUCCCCCUUUCUUCUUCAUCCUUCUUCACUUCAGAAGGGAGGAGGGCGGCUCCCCCUCACGGAAGAGGUCUGUCGCGACCAGCGGCGCCCACGGCCGAACCCGUGGCCGCGCCCGCAGCGGCCGGCCCCCUCUCUGUUCUUUGGGGGUCGGAACCAACCCCCUUGAGAAGAAGGGGCCUCUGGCCCACCACAGCUCUGGCCGAAGGCCAGCGGAGCCUGCAGUCGGAGCCGGCGGCUCCUUCGUUCUCACUACAGUGGGGGAGAAACCCACCACUGUGGCUAUGGCUGCGAUCGAACUCACCGCAGCCAAAGAAGAGUUGUAGACGAUCUCCCCACGAUCGGAAGAGGGGAGUAAGAGCCUCCGGCCGUCGACGGCUGCAGCCGAGCUCAUCGUGCCGGAUUCGCGACCGAGGACAUCCGGAAACAUUACAAUGUCAACUUGACAGGAAUUGAGGUUGGUGGGACUUUUCUAAGGCUUCCUACUUAUUUAUUUGACGAUGGAGCAAAUAAAGGUGCCAUUAUUGACUGUGGUACAACCUUGGCUUAUCUUCCAGAUGCAGUUUUCAAGCAGUUACUCAAUGCGAUAUUCAAAUUCCAUCAAGGUUUGACUAUUCAUAACAAUGGGGUCUUUGUAUGUUUCAGAUAUUCUGGAAGGUAUGCUUUUAUGACUAGCACCUUUUGAUCCUUGUUAUCUAGAAGUUCUUUUCCUUAAUUUUUUCAAGGAAGUUAGCUGAAUUGAAUGAUCAAGAUAUAUGCCUUUUGGGUCGAAAUGGCUAUAUGUUGUUUUUAUGUUAUUCUUUCUAAUAAGUAAAGCUCAUGUAUUCCUCCCAUUUUUAUCAAAAUGUUAUAAAACAAUCAUCUGUGCAUUUUUUGGUUAUAAUGGUAGAAUCUCGUUCAAUUCAAAGUUUUAAUACUGAAAAUAUGUGUACUUACCUUGCUGGCUUCCCAAUGAAAUAAUGUGCUCAAAAGCAACAUGAAAAGUUUCACUUGUUUGCACAUUACAAUGAUAGGAUUAAAAAAAUAAAUCAUUGUAGAUAGAAAGGUGCUUAAAAGCCUUCCUCUUCCCUAAUCGGUGGCUUCCCACUAUUUCCAAAAUUUCAGAAACUAAAUAUUACCUUAAACCUUUAAGAUUUAGCCCUCUAACAUCAAAAAUCUAACGUAAAGAAAAGAUUGGAUCUCACCUUGAUGAUGGCUUCAACAACUUAGCUUUUUCCUCGUCUACUUCUUCUCCAAAGCACCCACCAGCGAUGACGAGGCGGCAACUGACGAGGCUCGUUGAGAGGAGGAGAAGAGGGAGACAGCGGAAGGAGGAGGCGGAAAAUGAGAAAAGAGAGAA
Molecule: non-coding RNA, 1517 nt
Organism: Phoenix dactylifera (date palm)
Lineage: Eukaryota; Viridiplantae; Streptophyta; Magnoliopsida; Arecales; Arecaceae
Source: RefSeq, a predicted model, not a curated record